GACGAACGCUGGCGGCGUGCUUAACACAUGCAAGUCGAACGGGCCUUGUCCCCUUUUUUUUGGGGGUGGGGUUAGUGGCGAACGGGUGAGUAACACGUGAGUAACCUGCCCCUCACUUCUGGAUAACCGCUUGAAAGGGUGGCUAAUACGGGGUGUUCUGGCCUGCUCGCAUGGGUGGGUUUGGAAAGAUUCGACCGGUUUUGGUUGUUUUGGUGGGGGAUGGGCUCGCGGCCUAUCAGCUUGUUGGUGGGGUGAUGGCCUGCCAAGGCUUUGACGGGUAGCCGGCCUGAGAGGGUGGGCGGUCACACUGGGACUGAGACACGGCCCAGACUCCUACGGGAGGCAGCAGUGGGGAAUAUUGCACAAUGGGCGCAAGCCUGAUGCAGCGACGCCGCGUGAGGGAUGGAGGCCUUCGGGUUGUGAACCUCUUUCGCCAGUGAAGAAGGUCCUGCUCUCUGUGGUGGGGUUGACGGUAGCUGGGUUAAUGAAGCGCCGGCUAACUACGUG
RNAcentral lists this ribosomal RNA (507 nucleotides) under uncultured bacterium. RNAcentral describes it as "partial 16S ribosomal RNA". It matches the Rfam family "Bacterial small subunit ribosomal RNA", at positions 28 to 507 of the family's 1533-position model. The record is from RNAcentral.